UGCAAGUCGAGCGGACAGAAGGGAGCUUGCUCCCGGAUGUUAGCGGCGGACGGGUGAGUAACACGUGGGUAACCUGCCUGUAAGACUGGGAUAACUCCGGGAAACCGGAGCUAAUACCGGAUAGUUCCUUGAACCGCAUGGUUCAAGGAUGAAAGACGGUUUCGGCUGUCACUUACAGAUGGACCCGCGGCGCAUUAGCUAGUUGGUGAGGUAACGGCUCACCAAGGCGACGAUGCGUAGCCGACCUGAGAGGGUGAUCGGCCACACUGGGACUGAGACACGGCCCAGACUCCUACGGGAGGCAGCAGUAGGGAAUCUUCCGCAAUGGACGAAAGUCUGACGGAGCAACGCCGCGUGAGUGAUGAAGGUUUUCGGAUCGUAAAGCUCUGUUGUUAGGGAAGAACAAGUGCAAGAGUAACUGCUUGCACCUUGACGGUACCUAACCAGAAAGCCACGGCUAACUACGUGCCAGCAGCCGCGGUAAUACGUAGGUGGCAAGCGUUGUCCGGAAUUAUUGGGCGUAAAGGGCUCGCAGGCGGUUUCUUAAGUCUGAUGUGAAAGCCCCCGGCUCAACCGGGGAGGGUCAUUGGAAACUGGGAAACUUGAGUGCAGAAGAGGAGAGUGGAAUUCCACGUGUAGCGGUGAAAUGCGUAGAGAUGUGGAGGAACACCAGUGGCGAAGGCGACUCUCUGGUCUGUAACUGACGCUGAGGAGCGAAAGCGUGGGGAGCGAACAGGAUUAGAUACGCUGGUAGUCCACGCCGUAAACGAUGAGUGCUAAGUGUUAGGGGGUUUCCGCCCCUUAGUGCUGCAGCUAACGCAUUAAGCACUCCGCCUGGAG
Molecule: ribosomal RNA, 840 nt
Filed under: Bacillus aerius
Lineage: Bacteria; Bacillati; Bacillota; Bacilli; Caryophanales; Bacillaceae
Description: bacterial SSU rRNA
Rfam family: Bacterial small subunit ribosomal RNA
Source: RNAcentral